GUGCUUGCUUCGGCAGCACAUAUACUAAAAUUGGAACAAUACAGAGAUUAGCAUGGCCCCUGAGCAAAGAUGACAUGCAAAUUUGUGAAGCGUUCCAUAUUUUU
This 104-nucleotide small nuclear RNA is filed under the name Capra hircus (goat). Lineage: Eukaryota; Metazoa; Chordata; Mammalia; Artiodactyla; Bovidae. The record is from RNAcentral.